Molecule: unclassified non-coding RNA, 158 nt
Filed under: soil metagenome
Description: partial internal transcribed spacer 1
Source: RNAcentral
CUGAUACUUGGUCUAUGAGUUGAUACCGAAAGGAGUCCUCAUAGCCAAAUUCACCUCUUGUGCACUAUAUUGUCUUUUGGUAGUUUAUACCUUGGUAUAGGCUGCCAAGCUUUAUAACAAACCAUAGAAACUUGUCUGAAAUUAUUAUUAAAUAUAAA